Molecule: long non-coding RNA, 1909 nt
Organism: Gallus gallus (chicken)
Lineage: Eukaryota; Metazoa; Chordata; Aves; Galliformes; Phasianidae
Source: Ensembl
UUUGUUCUUAUAAUCAGAAAGUUGCUUAUCACUGCCCUGUGAAGAAGAUUAACAUAAUUUAAACCAGCAGCUUUGCACAAGAGCUACUCAAAAGCCCACAGAAUUUACCAGAAAAUAGGCAGUUUUCUAGACCUUUCUCCAUUCCGAAGCGCUCCUCUGAAGCGCUGAUGGCAAUUGUAUCGUGAUAUCUGUGAUACAAUUUUCUAUGCCAUUCUACUGGGUGGUACUGGGCACCCUCAUGAGUUACCAUUUCCCACAGUGCUAUAGAGGUCCUUUCUAUAGUGGCUGCAUACAACUCACUUGGUUCUAUGAGCACCAGGACCCAGUUACUUUACGUAUGUAGCAAAAGGGACUUCAGUUUCAGCUGGAACAUAAGAACGAAUAUAGUGGUUUCAGCCCAGCUGACCUGGGAGGAAAGAACGUUUCUGUGUGGCAUCAAGUUUGCACACUCUCCAGCAAAUGAUAAGAGAUGAUUAAAUAAAUGGAUCUUAUGUCUUCUGUUCCUCUCAGCCUGGUAGCUUUUCUCAAAUACUCCUGACAAAUAGCUCCUGUCCCACCCCUCAGCUCCACCUUCUUCCAUAAUUCAUACAACUCCUGGGGAGAAACCAGGCUGUAAAUCUUACAGACAUGUAUCCAAAAGAAGUAUCGUCCAUAUCAUUAAUAUAACCAUCUCUAUAUUUUACUGACACUUACGUCUUCUAGUGAAGCACUCCUCUCUUUAAGAAAUAGUAAGAAUCUCAAGAAAAUCUAAUAAUUACUCCGUGUUAAGUAACACAAGGUUUUUGACUUCUGUUUGUCAGUUGGAUUGUUCCUGAUAUCUGGAGGGAUUUACAUAUAAAAACAAAACCAACACCUGUUUGCUUGCAGAUAACACGUUGAACAAAACCCUCUGUUCUGAAAAAGAUCAUCUGUAACGCGUUCCCAUUUAAAGAUCCCUUUGUACUGCAAGAGCCACAUGAAGCAGUCGCUAUGGACAGGCGUGGCACCCCAAGUGAAUCUAAUGAUGUGGAAGAAGGAGGGACACAGAACCUUCACAAAAGGCCCCGUGAAACCCUCCCCAUGCACGACAGCCCUCCACCAGCCUCUUCAGUGGUCACUCACAGCCGGGUGAGAAGAGCAGCUAAAGAUGGAAGAAGAAAGACAGAGACCAGCAAGAAACCUCUGCAGGCUCACCUGUGAAAUCACAAGAAGCAGUGUACAGCCCCAAAGAAAGCAGUGGGUUCUUGUUGACCAGGAUGGAAAGAUGACCUGAAAUUGUAAAGGAUUGAGUACUGAAUUAUUUAAAUUGUGGAAGGAAAGCAUCCCACCUUCUAAACCCUUAGUGCUUACAGCAAGAGGAAAGAUGCAUCCAAAUGUCAAAACUGCAGGAGAAACAACAAUUAUUUCUAAGGUUCAUUACAAAGUGGAGAUGUCUGGGGAAGUGCUGACGCUUGAGUGUUGACUUUGGUAGAAUCUCCAUCUUUUCUCCCUCCUUGUUUUUGGUUCUCUCCCUCGCACGUUGCACCCUGCACUCCUAAAGCUCAGGUAAAAUCAGCACAAAAGCUGUCUGUGUGAAGUGUUGAGGGGCAAUAACCCCAUUAGGGACUUCCCACAGUGCCAGCCUGCAUUACUGCCAAGGCUCAUCUGACCCAUUCUCCCUCCAUGAUGUAUCUGUCUUACAGUCUUCUCACAAAUCUCUGAUGGUUGAAAAAUCUGGCAACAUCUGAAAAACAUUUUUAGAACCCAUCAACACUAAGGCAGAAAAAGAAAUAGAAAAUUCACUAGAAAACAGAUGAACUAUCAGAUUAAAAUAUAUAUAUAUAUAUAUAUAUCCUAAUAUAUGUUUUAGACUUUGGAGAUUUGGAAGAAAAAAAUCUCUCUCUUUUUUUUAACCUGAUUUUUUUCCCAAUAAAAAAUUGUAGCAAAUUCU